RNAcentral lists this small RNA (130 nucleotides) under Sinorhizobium meliloti 2011. RNAcentral's name for it is "putative ncRNA". Lineage: Bacteria; Pseudomonadati; Pseudomonadota; Alphaproteobacteria; Hyphomicrobiales; Rhizobiaceae. The record is from RNAcentral.
AUAGUUUCGCAGGCGAGCUGUGGCUGGCGCGGAUCGGACGGAUAUAAAGCUAAAGAUUGUUAGUUUGGCGCGAAAUGCAUGAAAUCGAGUUAUACCUUGAUUUUCUUACAAAUCAGCACACCAUGAUGGA